This is a long non-coding RNA of Gossypium arboreum, 495 nucleotides long. RefSeq lists it as uncharacterized. The record is from RefSeq and is a predicted model, not a curated record. NCBI's taxonomy places the organism in Eukaryota, Viridiplantae, Streptophyta, Magnoliopsida, Malvales, Malvaceae. The transcript is spliced from 2 exons.
UUUCCAUUUUUCUUUUAUAUAUAUAUAUAUAUAUAUUUAUAAAUAUAUAUAUGUGUUGUAUAUGUAUAUUUUCAUCUCUUCACCUUAUGUCAUUACAUGACAGCAACAUCAGCUGAUUGAUUCAUGAGGAACUUCCCUUAUCCAACCACAGGUUCUUUUCUUUUUUUGUCUUUUCACAGUAUGUUGAGGAGUUUAAAUGCAUGACAGUAGUUGCCAAGUGGAGGCUCCAAAGUUUUAAUCGCAAACCGUAAAUAAUGAAAUAACAGGGUAUGUAUGGGCAAGGGUGAUGGAAGCAGCGGAAUCCAAAGUCAAAUUUUCUGGAUGGUCCCAUUGGGAUUUGUCUUUCUAAUGUUCUCAUAUUCAGAUUAGGAUACUUUUUUUUUUUACGCACAUGUGAGCACAAUAAUUCAUUGCAAAGGCCAAAGGUGUGUAGUAUAAAGGUACAUGCAUACGGUUGUCCAAAGGCAGUAGAAUAAAGAAGCCAACAACAACAAA